Molecule: long non-coding RNA, 252 nt
Filed under: Salvator merianae (Argentine black and white tegu)
Lineage: Eukaryota; Metazoa; Chordata; Lepidosauria; Squamata; Teiidae
Description: lncRNA (ENSSMRG00000002925.1)
Source: RNAcentral
GCCUUGUUCUCUGGUGGAGGUGAACUUCAGUUGAACCUCCAGCCAUGAAGCUCCUUCACCUUGUCUUUGCAUUUCUCUGUCUGAUGAUGCUGGUUGUUCCAGGUGAGAAAGGAGGAAUAUGUGACCACGCCGCAUCACUGACAUCCUCUGCUGUGAAAUUCCGAUGGAUUAUAAAUUUGGAAAUCUUACGGGGCAGAGAGAUGUGAUUAACUGGUGCCUGAAUAAAAGGAAGUUGCAGUGUAAAUUUGUGCA